GUAACAACGUUGCUCCUAAAUUCUUCUUCUUCUUGAAAUUGUAUCUGCACAAAUCUUGAGCAAGAUUUCUCCUAAAUUCUCUUCUUCUUCUUCUUGCCAUUGUGUCUUCACAAAUCUUCAGGAACGUGUCUAUUCAAAUGGAUUCAUCGAUCACAGCAACGAUUCUAAGAUAUGUAAUUUUACGUCAUGCCUAAUACUUGUGUUGUUUCAACAACUUUGCUUUGAAUCUUUCAAAUGUCAAAGAAGAAUUGGAAUUGACUCGAGACAGAGUGAAGGAGCGAAUUAGAGAAGCCAUCAAUAAAGAUGAAAAAGUUGAGUCAACUGAUGUGAAGUGGCUGAAAGAUGUUGAAAAAGUCUUAGAAGAAGUGCAAGUGCUAGAAAAAAG
Molecule: small RNA, 385 nt
Filed under: Vigna angularis var. angularis
Lineage: Eukaryota; Viridiplantae; Streptophyta; Magnoliopsida; Fabales; Fabaceae
Description: Non-protein coding transcript
Source: RNAcentral